CAGUCGCCACGGGAAUACGUAGGGUGCAAGCGUUAAUCGGAAUUACUGGGCGUAAAGCGUGCGUAGGUGGUGGUUUAAGUCCGUUGUGAAAGCCCUGGGCUCAACCUGGGAAUUGCAGUGGAUACUGGGUCACUAGAGUGUGGUAGAGGAUAGUGGAAUUUCCGGUGUAGCAGUGAAAUGCGUAGAGAUCGGAAGGAACAUCUGUGGCGAAGGCGACUAUCUGGGCCAACACUGACACUGAGGCACGAAAGCGUGGGGAGCAAACAGGAUUAGAUACCCCUGUAGUCCCUGUCUCUUAUAA
This 301-nucleotide ribosomal RNA is filed under the name uncultured bacterium. Its description in RNAcentral is "partial 16S ribosomal RNA". It matches the Rfam family "Bacterial small subunit ribosomal RNA", at positions 509 to 809 of the family's 1533-position model. The record is from RNAcentral.